UCUGGCUAGGAGUGUCUGACUAAAAGAGUUGAUCUUUUAAAUCAAAUCAUGAAGAUCUCUUCCU
RNAcentral lists this transfer RNA (64 nucleotides) under Macrogyropus costalimai. Its description in RNAcentral is "tRNA-Ser". Lineage: Eukaryota; Metazoa; Arthropoda; Insecta; Psocodea; Gyropidae. The record is from RNAcentral.